AGAGUUUGAUCAUGGCUCAGAUUGAACGCUGGCGGAAUGCUUUACACAUGCAAGUCGAGCGGCAGCGCGGGGGCAACCCUGGCGGCGAGCGGCGAACGGGUGAGUAAUGCUUCGGAAUCUGCCCAUGUAGUGGGGAAUAACCAGCCGAAAGGUUGGCUAAUACCGCAUACGACCUACGGGUGAAAGCAGGGGAUCGCAAGACCUUGCGCUAUUGGAUGAGCCGAAGUCGGAUUAGCUAGUUGGUAGGGUAACGGCCUACCAAGGCGACGAUCCGUAGCUGGUCUGAGAGGACGACCAGCCACACUGGGACUGAGACACGGCCCAGACUCCUACGGGAGGCAGCAGUGGGGAAUAUUGGACAAUGGGGGCAACCCUGAUCCAGCGACGCCGCGUGUGUGAAGAAGGCCUGCGGGUUGUAAAGCACUUUUAGUGGGGAUGAAAAGCUCAGGGCUAAUACCUCUGGGUCUUGACCUAACCCACAGAAAAAGCACCGGCUAACUCUGUGCCAGCAGCCGCGGUAAUACAGAGGGUGCGAGCGUUAAUCGGAAUUACUGGGCGUAAAGCGUGCGUAGACGGUCAUGUAAGUCGGGUGUGAAAUCCCCGGGCUCAACCUGGGAAUUGCAUUCGAAACUGCAUGGCUAGGAUGCGGAAGAGGGAAGCGGAAUUUCCGGUGUAGCGGUGAAAUUCGUAGAUAUUCGCAAGAACACCAGUGGCGAAGGC
This 720-nucleotide ribosomal RNA is filed under the name uncultured bacterium. RNAcentral describes it as "bacterial SSU rRNA". It matches the Rfam family "Bacterial small subunit ribosomal RNA", at positions 8 to 722 of the family's 1533-position model. The record is from RNAcentral.